RNAcentral lists this non-coding RNA (143 nucleotides) under unclassified sequences. The record is from RNAcentral.
UCCUCCCUGAACCGCCACCUUAUCGUGGUGGAGGGGUUUGUAUGCCUGAGUGAUCCUAAGAGCUAUGUUGUCGGGGGCAAAUGCUCCUGGUAGGGUCUCCCAAGGCAAACAGGGCUUAGGUGACAGCUCAGACUAAGUGCGGU